UGGCCAAGUAAGUCUUUAGUGAAAUCUUAGGGCUUAACCCUGAGAAGCGCUAAAGAAACUACCUGGCUUGGGGACGGGAGAAGCCACGGGUACUCCAGGGGUAGUGGUAAAAUGCUGUAAUCCUUGGGGGACCAACGGUAGCGAAAGCGCGUGGCUAGAACGUGCCCGACGGUGAGGAGCGAAGGCCAGGGGCGCAACCCGGAUUAGAUACCCGGUUAGUCCUGGCUGUAAAUCAUGCGAAUUAGGUGUUCCAUGGCCCACGCGGCCAUGGGUCGCCGUAGGGAAACCGUUAAAUUCGCCGCCUGGGGA
RNAcentral lists this ribosomal RNA (309 nucleotides) under uncultured archaeon. Its description in RNAcentral is "bacterial SSU rRNA". It matches the Rfam family "Archaeal small subunit ribosomal RNA", at positions 526 to 834 of the family's 1478-position model. The record is from RNAcentral.